UUAAAGGGAGUAAAACUGGUGGAUUUAGCACCAUGAGAUUAUCAUAGGAGCUGUGAGGAUAUGGAGCUGACAAAUGCAGAAGGUUUAAAGAUCUCCUGAAGAACAGUCAGACCUCUAUGUUGGGAAGAGUAGCAUGAGCGCAGUGGAAAAAAUAAGUACAGGACUGGCUUUGGACUUACUGUGAGACCAUGGCUACCCCCAUAUAGUUUCACUAGAUGGAAUCACAGC
Molecule: long non-coding RNA, 228 nt
Organism: Talpa occidentalis (Iberian mole)
Lineage: Eukaryota; Metazoa; Chordata; Mammalia; Eulipotyphla; Talpidae
Exons: 3
Source: RefSeq, a predicted model, not a curated record